This is a long non-coding RNA of Lolium rigidum, 726 nucleotides long. RefSeq lists it as uncharacterized. Lineage: Eukaryota; Viridiplantae; Streptophyta; Magnoliopsida; Poales; Poaceae. The transcript is spliced from 2 exons. The record is from RefSeq and is a predicted model, not a curated record.
CCUAUCCCUAACCUCUUCCACUCCCUCACUCCUCUCAUCCUGCUCCAUUCCAUCCCCACGUUUCUCAACCUCUCAUUUCUUCCCAUCCCCGUCGCUGCGCCCCGCCAGUGGCGCUUGAAGAGCAUCCUACCUCCUUCCGCUGCCGGCGUCGGGACGGCCCCCCCAUGGUUCCCUCCGCCCGCACCAUAACCGGCCGCCCAUGGUUCCCCUCUGCCCGCGCCAGAUCCGUCCCCUCAUGGUUCCCCUCCGUUGGCGCCAGGAUCGGCCCCAUAUGGUUCCCAUCCGCCGUGCUAGCACCAGCUCCCCCAUGGUUCCCCUCCGCUGGCGCUAGCAGCAGCCCCCCAAUGGUUCCCCUCUGACACCGUCAUCCUCCUCCUGACUCCCUAGGAACAAGUGACGCCGGCGAGGACGCUCCGCUCUUGCGGGUUGGCUGUGUCACAAGCCUCCUCGAGCGGCCCAAAGUGCAGCAUGCCAUGUCAAAGCCCCUCUCCACCUUGCUCAGGAUUGACUAUACAAAUUGGAAGCCACAGAUCAACAAAAACAGUCGAUUAUAAAAUACCUUAGUUAAAGUGGUCAAAUGUGAUUGUCUAUUUGCAGCACGCCGAUGGUCUAUUAACCAGAUUGGAUAUGUAAUACCAAUGAGAAAAUGAGGUUGUAUUAGGUGUAAGAAUUGUAUUGAUUUGUACGAAACCUGAAUUUUCGUUUUGCAUCGUCUGGGUGCGGUCA